Molecule: small RNA, 85 nt
Filed under: Cloacibacterium normanense
Lineage: Bacteria; Pseudomonadati; Bacteroidota; Flavobacteriia; Flavobacteriales; Weeksellaceae
Description: Flavo-1 RNA
Rfam family: Flavo-1 RNA
Source: Rfam by way of RNAcentral
AUUUAGCCCCGAUUGAAACGGAAAUCCUUUUUUGGCGAGAGGCUUUGACGAGCCAAAAAGAUUGCAGUGGAAAGCGGGAAACAGC